This 500-nucleotide ribosomal RNA is filed under the name uncultured bacterium. RNAcentral describes it as "partial 16S ribosomal RNA". It matches the Rfam family "Bacterial small subunit ribosomal RNA", at positions 29 to 523 of the family's 1533-position model. The record is from RNAcentral.
AUUGAACGCUGGCGGAAUGCUUUACACAUGCAAGUCGAGCGGCAGCGCGGGGGCAACCCUGGCGGCGAGCGGCGAACGGGUGAGUAACACAUCGGAACGUACCCAGUUGUGGGGGAUAGCCCGGCGAAAGCCGGAUUAAUACCGCAUACGACCUGAGGGUGAAAGGGGGGGAUCGCAAGACCCCUCGCAGGUGGAGCGGCCGAUGGCGGAUUAGCUAGUUGGUGAGGUAAAGGCUCACCAAGGCGACGAUCCGUAGCUGGUCUGAGAGGACGACCAGCCACACUGGAACUGAGACACGGUCCAGACUCCUACGGGAGGCAGCAGUGGGGAAUUUUGGACAAUGGGGGCAACCCUGAUCCAGCCAUUCCGCGUGAGUGAAGAAGGCCUUCGGGUUGUAAAGCUCUUUCGGCAGGAACGAAACGGUGGAGGCUAAUACCUUUCAUCAAUGACGGUACCUGAAGAAGAAGCACCGGCUAACUACGUGCCAGCCGCCGCAGUAA